GGAGGUGUGGCUCAAACGGUAGAGCAGCUGCCUAGGAAGCGCAAGGUGUUGAGUUCAAACCCCAGUACUUCCA
Molecule: transfer RNA, 73 nt
Filed under: Dipodomys ordii (Ord's kangaroo rat)
Lineage: Eukaryota; Metazoa; Chordata; Mammalia; Rodentia; Heteromyidae
Rfam family: tRNA
About the family: Transfer RNA (tRNA) molecules are approximately 80 nucleotides in length. Their secondary structure includes four short double-helical elements and three loops (D, anti-codon, and T loops).
Source: Rfam by way of RNAcentral